AUGAACGCUGGCGGCGUGCUUAACACAUGCAAGUCGAACGAUGAAGCCCAGCUUGCUGGGUGGAUUAGUGGCGAACGGGUGAGUAACACGUGAGUAACCUGCCCUUAACUCUGGGAUAAGCCUGGGAAACUGGGUCUAAUACCGGAUAGGAGCGCCUACCGCAUGGUGGGUGUUGGAAAGAUUUAUCGGCUUUGGAUGGACUCGCGGCCUAUCAGCUUGUUGGUGAGGUAAUGGCUCACCAAGGCGACGACGGGUAGCCGGCCUGAGAGGGUGACCGGCCACACUGGGACUGAGACACGGCCCAGACUCCUACGGGAGGCAGCAGUGGGGAAUAUUGCACAAUGGGCGAAAGCCUGAUGCAGCGACGCCGCGUGAGGGAUGACGGCCUUCGGGUUGUAAACCUCUUUCAGUAGGGAAGAAGCGAAAGUGACGGUACCUGCAGAAGAAGCACCGGCUAACUACGUG
Molecule: ribosomal RNA, 465 nt
Filed under: uncultured bacterium
Lineage: Bacteria
Description: partial 16S ribosomal RNA
Rfam family: Bacterial small subunit ribosomal RNA
Source: RNAcentral